UAUAGAAAGACCUCCAAUGUUAUUUCUCCUCUCUGUCUUCUUUCACCCUAAGACCUCCAAGGUUCCAGUUGAGAGCUCUUAAUUCUGGACAAACAGCUUGCUCUUGUGCUAUUCGCCUGGGACAGUAACGACCUUACUCUCUGCAGCUGGGGAUUUGAAGAGUCCGGAUAGCUCUACCUCUACUUUAAAGUGAAAUUAGACAGAUGGGUGGCAGUGGUUCAGCGAGCACUUCAAUUGAUAUUGAAGGGCUUUUGAAGGAAGUUCCAGAUAGCAUGCAAACGACCUUGCCGGAAGAGAUGUGUAUCUACCAUGUCCCGGUAGACAUUCGUCAAGUAAAUAAAGAUGCCUAUACCCCUCAGGUGAUUUGUAUAGGCCCAAUUCACCAAA
Populus euphratica (Euphrates poplar) is the source of this 387-nucleotide long non-coding RNA. RefSeq lists it as uncharacterized. The record is from RefSeq and is a predicted model, not a curated record. The transcript has 3 exons. Lineage: Eukaryota; Viridiplantae; Streptophyta; Magnoliopsida; Malpighiales; Salicaceae.